RNAcentral lists this ribosomal RNA (440 nucleotides) under uncultured bacterium. RNAcentral describes it as "partial 16S ribosomal RNA". It matches the Rfam family "Bacterial small subunit ribosomal RNA", at positions 338 to 795 of the family's 1533-position model. The record is from RNAcentral.
CCUACGGGUGGCAGCAGUAGGGAAUAUUGCUCAAUGGGGGAAACCCUGAAGCAGCAACGCCGCGUGGAGGAUGAAGGUUUUCGGAUUGUAAACUCCUUUUGUUAGAGAAGAUAAUGACGGUAUCUAACGAAUAAGCACCGGCUAACUCCGUGACAGAAGCCGCGGUAAUACGGAGGGUGCAAGCGUUAUUCGGAAUCACUGGGCGUAAAGGGCGCGUAGGCGGGAUAGCAAGUCAGAUGUGAAAUCCUAUGGCUUAACCAUAGAACUGCAUUUGAAACUGUUAGUCUAGAGUAUGGGAGAGGUAGGUGGAAUGCUUGGUGUAGGGGUAAAAUCCGUAGAGAUCGAGAGGAAUACUCAUUGCGAAGGCGACCUGCUAGAACAUAACUGACGCUGAUGCGCGAAAGCGUGGGGAGCAAACAGGAUUAGAUACCCCUGUAGUC